Long non-coding RNA from Brassica napus (rape), 776 nucleotides. RefSeq lists it as uncharacterized. The transcript is spliced from 2 exons. The record is from RefSeq and is a predicted model, not a curated record. Lineage: Eukaryota; Viridiplantae; Streptophyta; Magnoliopsida; Brassicales; Brassicaceae.
AUAUUGUUUAUUUAUUUAUUAUAUAUAUUUUUUAUAUUGUAAAUUUACUUAAUAUUUAUUUUCUAUUUUUUAAAUAAUAAAUGUCACAUGUCAUAUUUUGGGAGAAUUUUUUUCGGUGAUAUGGACGUUUUAUAGAGCCUCGAAAAGUCAUUUUUAUUAGUAUAGAUUCACAAGUUUGCCUUUAAAAAUUAUUUCUUUUUUCUUGGUCAAAAGAUUUUUUUUUUUAAAAAAAAAAUCCAAAAACCUUUAUGGGUGAAGACUACUAACCCUAAUUCACAUUCACCUCCAUCUUUCUCGUUUUCUGUGGCAUCGGAGGAUGUGAAGACGAGCGAAUAGGCGAUUGUUAAUCAAGCGAAACUAGAGAGUGAAGGAGUUAAAGCUCCGAGCAAUGCCAUUAUCGGGAUCUGUCGAAGACUGAUGUUACUCCGUUGGAGAGACUGAAAUUCUUGUUUGAUUGACAUUAAUGAAUCUUUCUGUUGGAGUGUUGAUGCUAUUUUGCGUUUUCUGUCCAUAGCCUGAAACUCAAAAAAAGUCAGGGAAGGCCAAAGAAAUGCAAAAGGAAGUGACGAAGAAGAAGCAGAGAAAAGAGGAAAGGACAGAGUUGUUGCAUGUACUUGCUUUGUGUCUAAUUUGAGACGCCACUGUUUUGGCAUUGAUUUCUUAUCUCUGUUUCUUCUUCUUUUAUAAAAGCAUGGUGUGAACAGGGGCAGAACCAGAAUUGUUUUGAACAUGGGGCAUAUAAAGAUGUUUAAGCAAAUUUUAAUAUUAACUAUUAA